UACGGGGGGAGCAAGCGUUGUUCGGAUUUACUGGGCGUAAAGCGUGCGCAGGCGGUCUGUUAAGACCGAUGUGAAAUCCCCGGGCUUAACCCGGGAACUGCAUUGGUGACUGGCAGGCUUUGAGUGUGGCAGAGGGAGGUAGAAUUCCACGUGUAGCAGUGAAAUGCGUAGAGAUGUGGAGGAAUACCGAUGGCGAAGGCAGCCUCCUGGGCCAACACUGACGCUCAUGCACGAAAGCGUGGGGAGCAAACAGG
Molecule: ribosomal RNA, 254 nt
Filed under: uncultured bacterium
Lineage: Bacteria
Description: partial 16S ribosomal RNA
Rfam family: Bacterial small subunit ribosomal RNA
Source: RNAcentral